Molecule: ribosomal RNA, 497 nt
Filed under: uncultured bacterium
Lineage: Bacteria
Description: partial 16S ribosomal RNA
Rfam family: Bacterial small subunit ribosomal RNA
Source: RNAcentral
GAUGAACGCUGGCGGCGUGCCUAAUACAUGCAAGUCGAGCGAACGGACGAGAAGCUUGCUUCUCUGAUGUUAGCGGCGGACGGGUGAGUAACACGUGGAUAACCUACCUAUAAGACUGGGAUAACUUCGGGAAACCGUAGCUAAUACCGGAUAAUAUUUUGAACCGCAUGGUUCAAAAGUGAAAGACGGUCUUGCUGUCACUUAUAGAUGGAUCCGCGCUGCAUUAGCUAGUUGGUAAGGUAACGGCUUACUAAGGCAACGAUGCAUAGCCGACGGCAGGGGGGGGUCGCCGACAUGGGAACUGAACCGGCGUCCAUGGUACUGAGGUAGGGAGCAGAAGGGAACCGUCCGCAGUGGUGGAAAGUCUUACGCAGCAACCGGGCGUGUGUGAUGGAGGCGUUGCGAGCGUAAUACUGUGUUAUGAGUUAAGAACAUAUGUGGAAGUAGCUGAGGAGAGCGUGACGGUACCUGAUCAGGAAGCCCCGGCUAACUACGUG